UACGAACCGUGCGAACGUUGUUCGGAAUCACUGGGCUUAAAGGGCGCGUAGGCGGUCAAUCCAGUCGGGGGUGAAAUCUUGCAGCUUAACUGUAAAAGUGCCUUCGAUACUGAUUGACUCGAGGGAGGUAGGGGCAGGUGGAACUUCCAGUGGAGCGGUGAAAUGUGUUGAUAUUGGAAGGAACGCCGGUGGCGAAAGCGAUCUGCUGGAUCUCUUCUGACGCUGAGGCGCGAAAGCUAGGGGAGCAAACGGG
This 253-nucleotide ribosomal RNA is filed under the name uncultured bacterium. Its description in RNAcentral is "partial 16S ribosomal RNA". It matches the Rfam family "Bacterial small subunit ribosomal RNA", at positions 524 to 776 of the family's 1533-position model. The record is from RNAcentral.